RNAcentral lists this long non-coding RNA (332 nucleotides) under Elaeis guineensis (African oil palm). RNAcentral's name for it is "long non-coding RNA (EGUI_LNC069768)". Lineage: Eukaryota; Viridiplantae; Streptophyta; Magnoliopsida; Arecales; Arecaceae. The record is from RNAcentral.
UGUUCAGAACACAAUACCUUUAUGCGGAUAGUUGAUCUUCGCAAUUUGAUCAUUAUCGGGAGGAUCUGAUCAUCACAACAUAGUCACACAGUGUGUCUGGCCUCUGCAGAUCAUCCACAUGAAGCUCUCGGUCUGAUCGGCUCCUCACGAGUGCUAGCUUGUUGUAGAGCCCUAUCGACGGCCGAUGCUGAUCGAACUCCUUCGAUCGAUAUCUGUCGACUCUUUAGAUGCUCUAGAUUGUCAACAAGUAUGCUUGAGAGGUUGAUGAAUCUCUUCAUAAAAUUUGGUGGGCUCAUGACACUCGUAGCUCACCUUCUCACUUCCCAAACCCC